This is a non-coding RNA of Caerostris darwini, 156 nucleotides long. The record is from the annotation of a GenBank genome assembly. NCBI's taxonomy places the organism in Eukaryota, Metazoa, Arthropoda, Arachnida, Araneae, Araneidae.
CAACGGCCGUACCAUUCUGAAUAUACCGGUUCUCGUUAGAUCACCGAAGUCAAGCAUCAUUCAGUACUUGGGUGGUACUUGGGUCUUGGUACUUGGGUCUUGGUACUUGGGUCUUGGUACUUGGGUGGGUGACCACCUGGGAACACUGCGUGCCGU